CAGUCGCCGCGGUAAUACGUAGGUGGCAAGCGUUGUCCGGAAUUAUUGGGCGUAAGGGGCUCGCAGGCGGUUUCUUAAGUCUGAUGUGAAAGCCCCCGGCUCAACCGGGGAGGGUCAUUGGAAACUGGGAAACUUGAGUGCAGAAGAGGAGAGUGGAAUUCCACGUGUAGCGGUGAAAUGCGUAGAGAUGUGGAGGAACACCAGUGGCUAAGGCGACUCUCUGGUCUGUAACUGACGCUGAGGCGCGAAAGCGUGGGGAGCGAACAGGAUUAGAUACCCCUGUAGUCCCUGUCUCUUAUAA
This 301-nucleotide ribosomal RNA is filed under the name uncultured bacterium. RNAcentral's name for it is "partial 16S ribosomal RNA". It matches the Rfam family "Bacterial small subunit ribosomal RNA", at positions 509 to 809 of the family's 1533-position model. The record is from RNAcentral.